UGCUCACUAUUAAACACUGAGUACAAGA
Molecule: non-coding RNA, 28 nt
Filed under: Rattus norvegicus (Norway rat)
Lineage: Eukaryota; Metazoa; Chordata; Mammalia; Rodentia; Muridae
Source: RNAcentral